UCGUGGUCGAGAUGGACUCAGCCUGAGGACCUCCAGCAGUUCUGGAAGCCGCUAAAGGAUGUUACUUCUGUUUUCAAUACAGACAACAACUUCCGAUAAGUUUGGACACAUAGGAAGAGCCUGAACGGUUCACGGUAAUGGCGUACAUAAAGGGUAAAGAACAGAAGAUGUCACCAGUGAUGAUGAGCAUUGCCCAACACAUCUAAGAGAUUAGCAGCUUACACUUUGCUACACAAGCAUGAACCUUCAAUGAGUCGAAAAGCUGCCAAGAGAACUGAACAUAAAGCGGUUGCCCGGGAUUAGAAGGACAUGUCUACUUUAUUCCAAGAACAACACCACACUAGAGAUGAGCAAAUCGGUUUGUGCCAAUAAACUCUCCACCAAUGGUGGAUUUUAA
This is a long non-coding RNA of Hyla sarda, 397 nucleotides long. RefSeq lists it as uncharacterized. Lineage: Eukaryota; Metazoa; Chordata; Amphibia; Anura; Hylidae. The record is from RefSeq and is a predicted model, not a curated record. The transcript has 3 exons.